This 1881-nucleotide long non-coding RNA is filed under the name Lynx pardinus (Iberian lynx). Lineage: Eukaryota; Metazoa; Chordata; Mammalia; Carnivora; Felidae. The record is from RNAcentral.
GUUGGAGAAGCCUCCUUUCCACUUCCCCGGAAACUGGUGACAUUUCAGGGCUUCCCGCUCGCUGGAGGCCCCCGCCCAAGGAUCUUCUCAGAUACCUUCUCAGAGGACGCGCCACAGAACUGGGGAUCACCCCGACCAGAGCAAGACUCCCUGCCCCCACGGAGCGCCCAGCCUCUGGGCUGCCUUUCUCGGGGAGCCCGCGAGCCCGGGGCUCCCCGGACCCGGAGCGCCGUGCCCAGCUCCUCCGGCGACACGCACCGGCGAAGUUCCCACCUGAGCAGGCAGCCGGAGGUGUCAGACGCGAGGGAGGGGCGGGGACGGGGAGCCCGGGCGCGGGGAGGCCAGACCCGGGGGCGACCGCGCGCGGAGGAGAUGCUCCCGGGCCACCCGGGCUGGCCAACCUGCUGCCGCCUCCCAGAGCCGCGCGGGGAAACGCGCCGCGCUCCGCGCCGGCUGCCGCCCGCCCGCCCUCCCGCUCCCGGCGCCGCGGCCCGGGCACUAGGACCCCAGAAAGGAAGGAGGGCGCGCCGGCGGCGGCGCCGCACUUACCGCGCUCGGCUCGCCCGCGCCGCCGGCUCGCUACCCGGCCGCAGCCGCCGCGUCCACCCGAGCAGCGCGCACACACAGCACUUGGCCAAAUUCAAAGGAGCCGGGCGCGGGGGAGGGGGCCCCGCCGAGGGAGCGGAGCGUGGGAGCUGGGGGAGGGGGGCCGGGAGGGGGAGAGGACAGCAAGUGUUACAACUUCCUUCCCUGCCCACCGCCCGGCCGCGGCGGGCGAGGGACGCGGCGAGGGGAGGGCAGCGCGCGCCGGAGCGCCAAUGAGUUCACUUUCUUUUCCUCCCCCGCGCUCUCCCCCUCUCCCUUCCCGCCGGCCCCCUGGAAGCCUCCGGCUCGGCCGGAGAGGCCGGGCCGGAGUUUUCGGUUUUCGGCGGGGGGAGCCGGAGGACGGCUGGCGGCGAGGGAGGAGGAAGAGGGAGCGGGAAAGGUGAGGCGAGCGGGGCGCGGUGCCAGGGAGCGGCAUCCAGGACCUUAAUUGUGCGACGGGGGGACGCGCCGGGCCGAGUGUGCCCGAGACCAGGCGCGUACACGUGUCCGUGUGUGUGCGUGUGUAUGUGUGUGUGCGCGCGCGGGUGUGUGUGCCAGAGGAGGCGAGCCUACCAUGCGCUUCCCCCGGUGCAGAUCGCGGGAGAGCCCAAUCACGGGGCGAGCUGGACCGGGCUGUGAUCAUUUAUAAUCCUGGACUCCUCCGCUCCGCCACUUGUCAAGAUGACAGGUACUUUAUUUCUUCUUCUUCUUAAUUCAAGAAAAAAAAAAAAGAGAGAUUCCCCGUUUACUGCCGUUUUCUGUCAAAUGGGAUUUGCCGGACUGAACCACGUUCGCCGCCCCUCCCUUCUCCCCUCCUCCAGGCCGCGUCGGGUACGGGAAAGCUCCGAGGCUCCCAUGCUGUGACCAAUCAGUGCCUCUACUACUCUUGCCGUGAUUUAGGGGUCAUCCAUGAAUAACACUUCACGCUGAUGAAUGGCUCUUGCAGGCUUUCGGCUCUGAUGAGGGGUCUGCCCGCCGCUGAUUGCAAACACUAAUGAACUCCCAGCGCCAUUUGAAAUUCACACGCACCUACAAAGUGCGGGGGUACGUGCGUGCGGGGGUGGGGGGCGGAGGGGUCUGUCCUUUUCUUCUCCCGGCCGCGCGCGCGCGCGCGCGCGCGGGGAGCGGGGUCGGGGAGGGGGGAAGGGGCGGGUAAUUGCUUUGGACCGAGGUGGAAACACUUCUGUGUGUAAUCAAACCUCUAACCUUCUUAGAAAACUACUUUUCUUGAUCUUUCAUAGGGUGGGCAUUUCAGGUCAGCUGAGUCACCCGAGGAGGUAGGAGUGCAAGACACUG